Lontra canadensis (Northern American river otter) is the source of this 364-nucleotide long non-coding RNA. RefSeq lists it as uncharacterized. NCBI's taxonomy places the organism in Eukaryota, Metazoa, Chordata, Mammalia, Carnivora, Mustelidae. The record is from RefSeq and is a predicted model, not a curated record. The transcript is spliced from 3 exons.
AGAGCAAAGAAAGUACAAAGAUGAACACAGGCCUCCGAUUCUUGAUUUGGAGACAAGACUUUUAGUGCAACCUUUAAUUUGAGUGAGCGCUAAGCAUCAGAAGCCUCGAUGCCUCAAGAAAAUGUGAAACGCAUCAGGACUCCCAUGCGCUGAGAACGACUUUGAAGGUCAGGGGCCUUUCAGAGCUCUGGGGUCCCUGAACGCGCUUGGGUACUCCCUGCGCUCAACAGGGUAACGGGAGCUACGGGCUGGGGCGAAGGACGCAAGCGCCCCGGGUUCUGGAGUUCCCUAAGCGCUCCUGCCGCCUCCGGAAAGCAGGGGCAGUUUGCCGAAGUGACUGAGUAAUAACAGUUAAGAUACACCC